GACGAACGCUGGCGGCGUGCUUAACACAUGCAAGUCGAACGGAAAGGCCCUGCUUUUGUGGGUUGCUCGAGUGGCGAACGGGUGAGUAACACGUGAGUAACCUGCCCUUGACUUUGGGAUAACUUCAGGAAACUGGGGCUCAUACCGGAUAGGAGCUCCUGCUGCAUGGUGUGGUUUGGAAAGUUUCGGCGGUUGGGGAUGGACUCGCGGCUUAUCAGCUUGUUGGUGGGGUAGUGGCUUACCAAGGCUUUGACGGGUAGCCGGCCUGAGAGGGUGACCGGCCACAUUGGGACUGAGAUACGGCCCAGACUCCUACGGGAGGCAGCAGUGGGGAAUAUUGCACAAUGGGCGGAAGCCUGAUGCAGCAACGCCGCGUGCGGGAUGACGGCCUUCGGGUUGUAAACCGCUUUCGCCUGUGACGAAGCGUGAGUGACGGUAAUGGGUAAAGAAGCACCGGCUAACUACGUG
RNAcentral lists this ribosomal RNA (468 nucleotides) under uncultured bacterium. RNAcentral's name for it is "partial 16S ribosomal RNA". It matches the Rfam family "Bacterial small subunit ribosomal RNA", at positions 28 to 507 of the family's 1533-position model. The record is from RNAcentral.